AAUAUUGCACAAUGGAGGGAACUCUGAUGCAGCAACGCCGCGUGAGUGAAGAAGGNUUNNGGAUCNUNAAACUCUGUCAUUGGNNNNNAAUAAAUGACGGUACCCAAUGAGGAAGCCCCGGCUAACUACGUGCCAGCAGCCGCGGUAAUACGUAGGGGGCGAGCGUUGUCCGGAAUUACUGGGCGUAAAGGGUACGUAGGUGGCUAUAUAAGUCAGGUGUGAAAUACCAGUGCUUAACACUGGAAUUGCAUUUGAAACUGUGUAGCUUGAGUGCAGGAGAGGAAAGUGGAAUUCCUAGUGUAGCGGUGAAAUGCGUAGAUAUUAGGAGGAACACCAGUGGCGAAGGCGGCUCUCUGGUCUGUAACUGACGCUGAGGUGCGAAAGCGUGGGUAGCAAACA
This 399-nucleotide ribosomal RNA is filed under the name uncultured bacterium. Its description in RNAcentral is "partial 16S ribosomal RNA". It matches the Rfam family "Bacterial small subunit ribosomal RNA", at positions 360 to 774 of the family's 1533-position model. The record is from RNAcentral.